CUCCUAGUCUUCCUGACCCUAACCCUAACAAAACCCUGUUCACUUUAAUAAGUAACAAUACCUCUCAGGCCCUGAUGUGGGUCAUUGACCUGUGCCCUGGUGGGCUAAUCCCAUAAAAAAAUGGAAUCCUUUUGCAGAUUGGGGCAUGCCUGCACUCGGCAGCAAGUAACACCUCAUCCUCCACUCCUGCCUGGCG
This is a long non-coding RNA of Homarus americanus (American lobster), 196 nucleotides long. RefSeq lists it as uncharacterized. NCBI's taxonomy places the organism in Eukaryota, Metazoa, Arthropoda, Malacostraca, Decapoda, Nephropidae. The record is from RefSeq and is a predicted model, not a curated record. The transcript is spliced from 3 exons.